GACGAACGCUGGCGGCGUGCUUAACACAUGCAAGUCGAACGGAAAGGCCCUGCUUUUGUGGGGUGCUCGAGUGGCGAACGGGUGAGUAACACGUGAGUAACCUGCCCUUGACUUUGGGAUAACUUCAGGAAACUGGGGCUAAUACCGGAUAGGAGCUCCUGCUGCAUGGUGGGGGUUGGAAAGUUUCGGCGGUUGGGGAUGGACUCGCGGCUUAUCAGCUUGUUGGUGGGGUAGUGGCUUACCAAGGCUUUGACGGGUAGCCGGCCUGAGAGGGUGACCGGCAAAAUUGGGACGGGGAUACGGCCCAGACUCCUACGGGAGGAAGCAGUGGGGAUUAUGGCACAAGGGGCGGAAGCAUGAUGCAGCAACGCCGCGUGCGGGAGGACGGCCUUCGGGUGGUAAACCGCUUUCGCCUGGGACGAAGCGUGAGUGACGGUAAUGGGUAAAGAAGCACCGGCGACCUACGU
This 467-nucleotide ribosomal RNA is filed under the name uncultured bacterium. RNAcentral describes it as "partial 16S ribosomal RNA". It matches the Rfam family "Bacterial small subunit ribosomal RNA", at positions 28 to 506 of the family's 1533-position model. The record is from RNAcentral.